RNAcentral lists this ribosomal RNA (497 nucleotides) under uncultured bacterium. RNAcentral's name for it is "partial 16S ribosomal RNA". It matches the Rfam family "Bacterial small subunit ribosomal RNA", at positions 28 to 507 of the family's 1533-position model. The record is from RNAcentral.
GAUGAACGCUGGCGGCGUGCCUAAUACAUGCAAGUCGAGCGAACAGACGAGGAGCUUGCUCCUCUGACGUUAGCGGCGGACGGGUGAGUAACACGUGGAUAACCUACCUAUAAGACUGGGAUAACUUCGGGAAACCGGAGCUAAUACCGGAUAAUAUAUUGAACCGCAUGGUUCAAUAGUGAAAGACGGUUUUGCUGUCACUUAUAGAUGGAUCCGCGCCGCAUUAGCUAGUUGGUAAGGUAACGGCUUACCAAGGCAACGAUGCGUAGCCGACCUGAGAGGGUGAUCGGCCACACUGGAACUAAGACACGGUCCAGACUCCUACGGGAGGCAGCAUUAGGGAAUCUUCCGCAAUGGGCGAAAUCCUGACGGAGCAACGCCGCGUGAGUGAUGAAGGUCUUCGGAUCGUAAAACUCUGUUAUUAGGGAAGAACAAAUGUGUAAGUAACUAUGCACGUCUUGACGGUACCUAAUCAGAAAGCCACGGCUAACUACGUG